RNAcentral lists this unclassified non-coding RNA (432 nucleotides) under Zea mays. RNAcentral describes it as "misc RNA Zm00001eb170320". The record is from RNAcentral. Lineage: Eukaryota; Viridiplantae; Streptophyta; Magnoliopsida; Poales; Poaceae.
CAUGGAGCCAGAUGUUGUUGAUUUCUUUGGGGAAUGUAUGAAUAGUCCCUGAAAUGGUCGUACUCCGCUUGCAAAUGAGAUAUAUGAGCAAAUGGUUGCAGAGAAGGAAAGAGAGCUAGAAGAAGGAGAAGCACAAAAGUCACCCUCCAAGAUUGUUGCUGAUAGUCUCAGCCAGAUCAGCCGCUCAUCCACCUUCCUUCCAAACAUUGGUGUCCCUACAACGUCCAAGACUGGUCGGUCCACAUCGCUAGCUGCACAAGCACGCAUGCAAGCUCAGUUUGAGGAAAAACUCCAAGCUGAAAGAGAGGAAGCUGCUAGGAAGCAGGAAGAGUUGCAAGCACAACUACAAGCUCAACAGGCCGCACUUGAAGAAAACCAAAGUUUGUUGCGCCAGACCCAAGAGGAAGUGAAGGGGAUGCAUACCAAGUUUGA